GAUAAACGCUGGCGGCGUGCCUAAUACAUGCAAGUCGAGCGAACGGACGAGAAGCUUGCUUCUCUGAUGUUAGCGGCGGACGGGUGAGUAACACGUGGAUAACCUACCUAUAAGACUGGGAUAACUUCGGGAAACCGGAGCUAAUACCGGAUAAUAUUUUGAACCGCAUGGUUCAAAAGUGAAAGACGGUCUUGCUGUCACUUAUAGAUGGAUCCGCGCUGCAUUAGCUAGUUGGUAAGGUAACGGCUUACCAAGGCAACGAUGCAUAGCCGACCUGAGAGGGCGAUCGGCCACACUGGAACUGAGACACGGUCCAGACUCCUACGGGAGGCAGCAGUAGGGAAUCUUCCGCAAUGGGCGAAAGCCUGACGGAGCAACGCCGCGUGAGUGAUGAAGGUCUUCGGAUCGUAAAACUCUGUUAUUAGGGAAGAACAUAUGUGUAAGUAACUGUGCACAUCUUGACGGUACCUAAUCAGAAAGCCACGGCUAACUACGUGCCAGCAGCCGCGGUAAUACGUAGGUGGCAAGCGUUAUCCGGAAUUAUUGGGCGUAAAGCGCGCGUAGGCGGUUUUUUAAGUCUGAUGUGAAAGCCCACGGCUCAACCGUGGAGGGUCAUUGGAAACUGGAAAACUUGAGUGCAGAAGAGGAAAGUGGAAUUCCAUGUGUAGCGGUGAAAUGCGCAGAGAUAUGGAGGAACACCAGUGGCGAAGGCGACUUUCUGGUCUGUAACUGACGCUGAUGUGCGAAAGCGUGGGGAUCAAACAGGAUUAGAUACCCUGGUAGUCCACGCCGUAAACGAUGAGUGCUAAGUGUUAGGGGGUUUCCGCCCCUUAGUGCUGCAGCUAACGCAUUAAGCACUCCGCCUGGGGAGUACGACCGCAAGGUCGAAACUCAAAGGAAUUGACGGGGACCCGCACAAGCGGUGGAGCAUGUGGUUUAAUUCGAAGCAACGCGAAGAACCUUACCAAAUCUUGACAUCCUUUGACAACUCUAGAGAUAGAGCCUUCCCCUUCGGGGGACAAAGUGGCAGGUGGUGCAUGGUUGUCGUCAGCUCGUGUCGUGAGAUGUUGGGUUAAGUCCCGCAACGAGCGCAACCCUUAAGCUUAGUUGCCAUCAUUAAGUUGGGCACUCUAAGUUGACUGCCGGUGACAAACCGGAGGAAGGUGGGGAUGACGUCAAAUCAUCAUGCCCCUUAUGAUUUGGGCUACACACGUGCUACAAUGGACAAUACAAAGGGCAGCGAAACCGCGAGGUCAAGCAAAUCCCAUAAAGUUGUUCUCAGUUCGGAUUGUAGUCUGCAACUCGACUACAUGAAGCUGGAAUCGCUAGUAAUCGUAGAUCAGCAUGCUACGGUGAAUACGUUCCCGGGUCU
RNAcentral lists this ribosomal RNA (1372 nucleotides) under uncultured bacterium. Its description in RNAcentral is "bacterial SSU rRNA". It matches the Rfam family "Bacterial small subunit ribosomal RNA", at positions 28 to 1381 of the family's 1533-position model. The record is from RNAcentral.